This 73-nucleotide transfer RNA is filed under the name Pao suvattii. RNAcentral's name for it is "tRNA-Lys". The record is from RNAcentral. Lineage: Eukaryota; Metazoa; Chordata; Actinopteri; Tetraodontiformes; Tetraodontidae.
CACUAAGAAGCUACACGGGUCUAGCGUUAGCCUUUUAAGCUAAAGAAUGGUGCCUCCCAAACACCCUUAGUGA